CAGAGCAUAGCGAAAAAGUAAAGCAACUCCCUUACACUGAGUAGAUGUCCUUGCAACUAGGACUGCCCUGA
RNAcentral lists this transfer RNA (71 nucleotides) under Hymenocephalus striatissimus. RNAcentral describes it as "tRNA-Val". It matches the Rfam family "tRNA". Rfam says of the family: Transfer RNA (tRNA) molecules are approximately 80 nucleotides in length. Their secondary structure includes four short double-helical elements and three loops (D, anti-codon, and T loops). Further hydrogen bonds mediate the characteristic L-shaped molecular structure. tRNAs have two regions of fundamental functional importance: the anti-codon, which is responsible for specific mRNA codon recognition, and the 3' end, to which the tRNAs corresponding amino acid is attached (by aminoacyl-tRNA synthetases). tRNAs cope with the degeneracy of the genetic code in two manners: having more than one tRNA (with a specific anti-codon) for a particular amino acid; and 'wobble' base-pairing, i.e. permitting non-standard base-pairing at the 3rd anti-codon position. Lineage: Eukaryota; Metazoa; Chordata; Actinopteri; Gadiformes; Macrouridae. The record is from RNAcentral.